GUCAUUAUUUAGACUUAUUUAGAAAUCGAAAGACUCUGUGUCUGAAGUCACUCACUACUCACUAUAUAGUGAACUAUUGAGCUCGCUAUUUUGUAGUGCUGUCCGAAUGUAUAGUGUUAAUUAUUAUAUCCUAUAUAGUCCACUCAGUGUAUCCCAGAAUGCAUUUUGAAAAGUAGUGUACAACUGAUGGCCACUAACCAAGCCCUAUACCAUCAUGCAUUGCGCUGAUAGAAAAAAAACAGUCCACCAACUGAUUGUCCAACGGCAAUGACGUAAUUAUCGGUGUAGAAAUGAUGAUCGGCGUAGUGCCCGAAAGUGUUGGUUUAAUAAUGCGGGUGAGCUCACUUUAUAGUCCUCUACAUACAACUCCCUACAUAGGGAUUAGGGAGUAGUAAAUGAGCUGUGAUUUCGGACACAGUAUAAGAGACUUUGAUAGUUUUAUUUUGAAGGUUGCCACCGGAACUGUGCUAUUACGUUUGUUUUGACAGCUUGACAUGGUAAAGUAGACUUAAAACGCGUCGAAUAACAAUCACUGUCCAUAGCUGUAACACUGUAACAUAGGCAACGUGGGGUUGAAGUUGUCAAAAAAAAGGAACACAUUUUCCAUGCUUUGGUUUGAGCGUUCUCAGCGGAAGUGUCUGUAGUGAUAAGGGUUGAGUAGACUCACUACUCCGGUGAAAAGUCCCACUUAAAUUAGUUGUGUGCAGGGUUAAGUCUUGCAGGUGACUGGUCGGUGGCCUCGGCGUGAAAAUAGAAAUCUUUCGACGAGGAUGGGAUUCGAACCCACGCGUGCAGAGCACAAUGGAUUAGCAGUCCAUCGCCUUAACCACUCGGCCACCUCGUCCACAAGUUCAAACGCCAUACAGUGCUAAAUUGUGACGAAACAGAACGAUAGCGUGUGUGUGUUUCUCUGCAUCCACGGCGUUAUCAGGACUGCUUUUUUAUUUGUCACUCGCAUGGGAGGAGACAUUUAGCUGUGUACUGUUUGUAACAGUCUAUAUAUCAAACCAGAAACUGUAGCCUACGUGGCAGCCUUGCAGAUUUCAUAUCAGUAUGUAACUGUAGCCUACAAUAUGACGGUCUUUCUCAUUCUUAAACUGGAGACCCUGCUUGAUUCUUUUAAAAUAGGAUUUUAUUCGUAUUUAAGCACAAAUUCUGACGGCAUUAUACAGAUUUACCAACAUGUGAAUUUGUGUGCCCCAGAGCAGGGUUUUUUCUUACUUACUUUUUUUUAGUUUCUCUCAAUACCUGGAAGAUUGUGUUAUUUGAUCCCAUAGACACUCAGCAGUUGAGCCAAGAUAUACCAAAUAUUGCUGUGUGCAUAUUUGUUUCUGAUGGAUUUGGCUGGGUGGUUCUGCUGUUCCACUCGAGACCACAUCUACCGGCGAUGAUGCAUCUUCCUCUAACCUUUACAGCAGAGAUCCUGCAAAAAAAUAUGAGAAAGAAAUACCUGCCUCCUGUGUUCUGUGACACCACGCAGACCACCUGACAAACCCUCAUACAAAAGGCAUACUGACUCAGACAACUUUGCUUCCCAAAAGGAUGACAGUGAACCCAACACCUCGGCCUCUGCAGGAAGCUGAGACGUCAUGAGGAUGUGUCAUAUCAGCUGGCACCACUUACUGGUUUACAUUCAUAAACAGAACCGUCUGUGAAAAUGGAACGCACACCACAGUAAAUAUAAUCCCAUUUAACUUGCAGGGCUAGAGGGAUUUAUUUGGUUAUUUGCCAGAAAGCACCUAAUGAAUGAUGUGAGUGUUCCUAUGAUCAUUUCUCACCCUAAAUUAGAAAUGCAUAAAGAAGAAGAGCAGAGAAGCAAGCCAUUUCAUUCAAGGGUUUUUCACCGCUGUAUUAGACUUGUAAAUCACCAUUAGGCUUUCAUUAAAGUGGACUAAUCAGGGCACUUUGUAUGAAAAAUAUAGACAGAAAUAAUGAAUCUAUUUAACCCUUUGAUGCACAAGCUAUGCAAACCCCUUCUAAUGCAGAACAUGGGUCAAAAAUUACCCAUACUCAUUUCCUAUGUAAUUUUAUGCAUGGCUCAGUGUUUCUUUGCUAUAUCUUUUGGAAUCCUUUUAUUUAAUCUAUUAAAAUUUCAAGCCAUUACUUUUAUUUCUUUAUACUUUCUUACUGUAUGAACAAACAUACAUUUUCACACAUGGGCCGCGUGUUUUCACUGUGGAAUUUGAUGGGAACUUUUUGUAACUGUACAUAAUAUUUGAAUAUUAGGUUAAGUUUAACUUGACCUUGACAUCCAUUUCUAGUGAGAAAGACAAAUAUGCCCAAUACUGUUAGCUAUCUAACUAGCUGUUGACAUUUUCUAUUCUAGCUAUCUUAUGUUAGCUAGGUCAGCAAAAUCAAACUCGAAACAACAGUAUAUACUUGAUCAACUGAUUGAUGUGCAUUUGAAAAAUGUUCUUGUGAUUUUGAUUUUCUUUAGCCAGUGUUAGUAUGGCUGGUCUCAGUCAUACUCCCGAAGUCUGCAAGCUAAUGGAAAAGGUCUGUGAGCCAGUGGGAAGAGAGCAAGGCCAAUACAAGAAAUCUAGACAGAAAGUGGAAUGUUUAACAGCAGAAAUCUGACUUUCAUCAAUAUGUCUAACUAACGUUAGCAUUUUAACAUUAGUGAGGAAUUAGAAAAAUCCGAGUGGAUUCAGUAUAAUGAUAACAUUAAACAUUAAUGUGCCAUUAAAGAAUUUCGCAUUCAAUACAGUUUGUCUCUGAAGUUACAUUACUGUUACCAUCCAAUUUUAAAAAGCAGUAUUUUAUGUAUAGCCAACGUUUUGAGAGUAGCAUAUGUUUACACACAUGAAGCAAAUUCACUGAAAUCAAGAGAAUAUAUAAUAAUAUAUUGCUAUGGCAACAGCAGUGGAUGCAGAUGCUGUAGCCUGUAGCUCCUUCAAACUCCACUAUAUUUUUGUUUUUCCUCAGUUUUUUCUUUCUAGCUUUAUUGCUAAAACGUGUAUACAUGUAGGUAUAUAUGUAGCCUAGGCUAUAUAUUGUUUUUAUUUAUUUUAUAUGUCACCAUGUUCUAAUAUACAUUUAAUUAUCUGCUGUGUGUGUGUCGCAUGAAAAGCCUACAAACUUUCACAACUUGUGUUGGAGCCUAUAAGCCUAAUGAAAAUAAACUGACACCUUGAUGUAACCGUG
This is a long non-coding RNA of Micropterus salmoides (largemouth bass), 3144 nucleotides long. RefSeq lists it as uncharacterized. The record is from RefSeq and is a predicted model, not a curated record. NCBI's taxonomy places the organism in Eukaryota, Metazoa, Chordata, Actinopteri, Centrarchiformes, Centrarchidae. The transcript has 3 exons.